This 487-nucleotide ribosomal RNA is filed under the name uncultured bacterium. RNAcentral's name for it is "bacterial SSU rRNA". It matches the Rfam family "Bacterial small subunit ribosomal RNA", at positions 26 to 507 of the family's 1533-position model. The record is from RNAcentral.
AGAUUGAACGCUGGCGGCAUGCUUUACACAUGCAAGUCGAACGGCAGCGCGGGGGCAACCCUGGCGGCGAGUGGCGAACGGGUGAGUAAUGUAUCGGAACGUAUCCUGUAAUGGGGGAUAACCAGUCGAAAGAUUGGGUAAUACUGCAUACGCACGAGAGUGGAAAGUAGGGGAUCGCAAGACCUUACGUUAUAGGAGCGGCCGAUAUCUGAUUAGCUAGUUGGUGGGGUAAAGGCCUACCAAGGCGACGAUCAGUAGCUGGUCUGAGAGGACGACCAGCCACACUGGGACUGAGACACGGCCCAGACUCCUACGGGAGGCAGCAGUGGGGAAUUUUGGACAAUGGGCGAAAGCCUGAUCCAGCCAUGCCGCGUGCAGGAAGAAGGCCUUCGGGUUGUAAACUGCUUUAGUCUAGGAAAAAGGGGUGCGAGGUUAAUACCCUCGUGCUUUGAUGGUACUGGAAGAAUAAGCACCGGCUAACUACGUG